RNAcentral lists this ribosomal RNA (254 nucleotides) under uncultured bacterium. RNAcentral's name for it is "partial 16S ribosomal RNA". It matches the Rfam family "Bacterial small subunit ribosomal RNA", at positions 524 to 776 of the family's 1533-position model. The record is from RNAcentral.
UACGUAGGUGGCAAGCGUUGUCCGGAAUUAUUGGGCGUAAAGCGCGCGCAGGCGGCUUCUUAAGUCUGAUGUGAAAUCUCGGGGCUCAACCCCGAGCGGCCAUUGGAAACUGGGAAGCUUGAGUACAGAAGAGGAGAGUGGAAUUCCACGUGUAGCGGUGAAAUGGCGUAGAUAUGUGGAGGAACACCAGUGGCGAAGGCGACUCUCUGGUCUGUAACUGACGCUGAGGCGCGAAAGCGUGGGGAGCAAACAGG